GGGAAGGCCCAGACAGCCAGGAUGUUGGCUUAGAAGCAGCCAUCAUUUAAAGAAAGCGUAAUAGCUCACUGGUCGAGUCGGCCUGCGCGGAAGAUGUAACGGGGCUAAACCAUGCACCGAAGCUGCGGCAGCGACACUGUGUGUUGUUGGGUAGGGGAGCGUUCUGUAAGCCUGUGAAGGUGUGUCGUGAGGCAUGCUGGAGGUAUCAGAAGUGCGAAUGCUGACAUAAGUAACGAUAAAGCGGGUGAAAAGCCCGCUCGCCGGAAGACCAAGGGUUCCUGUCCAACGUUAAUCGGGGCAGGGUGAGUCGACCCCUAAGGCGAGGCCGAAAGGCGUAGUCGAUGGGAAACGGGUUAAUAUUCCCGUACUUGGUGUUACUGCGAAGGGGGGACGGAGAAGGCUAUGUUGGCCGGGCGACGGUUGUCCCGGUUUAAGCGUGUAGGCUGGUUUUCCAGGCAAAUCCGGAAAAUCAAGGCUGAGGCGUGAUGACGAGGCACUACGGUGCUGAAGCAACAAAUGCCCUGCUUCCAGGAAAAGCCUCUAAGCAUCAGGUAACAUCAAAUCGUACCCCAAACCGACACAGGUGGUCAGGUAGAGAAUACCAAGGCGCUUGAGAGAACUCGGGUGAAGGAACUAGGCAAAAUGGUGCCGUAACUUCGGGAGAAGGCACGCUGACACGUAGGUGAAGUGAUUUACUCAUGGAGCUGAAGUCAGUCGAAGAUACCAGCUGGCUGCAACUGUUUAUUAAAAACACAGCACUGUGCAAACACGAAAGUGGACGUAUACGGUGUGACGCCUGCCCGGUGCCGGAAGGUUAAUUGAUGGGGUCAGCGCAAGCGAAGCUCCUGAUCGAAGCCCCGGUAAACGGCGGCCGUAACUAUAACGGUCCUAAGGUAGCGAAAUUCCUUGUCGGGUAAGUUCCGACCUGCACGAAUGGCGUAAUGAUGGCCAGGCUGUCUCCACCCGAGACUCAGUGAAAUUGAACUCGCUGUGAAGAUGCAGUGUACCCGCGGCAAGACGGAAAGACCCCGUGAACCUUUACUAUAGCUUGACACUGAACAUUGAGCCUUGAUGUGUAGGAUAGGUGGGAGGCUUUGAAGUGUGGACGCCAGUCUGCAUGGAGCCGACCUUGAAAUACCACCCUUUAAUGUUUGAUGUUCUAACGUGGACCCGUUACCCGGGUUGCGGACAGUGUCUGGUGGGUAGUUUGACUGGGGCGGUCUCCUCCUAAAGAGUAACGGAGGAGCACGAAGGUUGGCUAAUCCUGGUCGGACAUCAGGAGGUUAGUGCAAUGGCAUAAGCCAGCUUGACUGCGAGCGUGACGGCGCGAGCAGGUGCGAAAGCAGGUCAUAGUGAUCCGGUGGUUCUGAAUGGAAGGGCCAUCGCUCAACGGAUAAAAGGUACUCCGGGGAUAACAGGCUGAUACCGCCCAAGAGUUCAUAUCGACGGCGGUGUUUGGCACCUCGAUGUCGGCUCAUCACAUCCUGGGGCUGAAGUAGGUCCCAAGGGUAUGGCUGUUCGCCAUUUAAAGUGGUACGCGAGCUGGGUUUAGAACGUCGUGAGACAGUUCGGUCCCUAUCUGCCGUGGGCGCUGGAGAACUGAGGGGGGCUGCUCCUAGUACGAGAGGACCGGAGUGGACGCAUCACUGGUGUUCGGGUUGUCAUGCCAAUGGCACUGCCCGGUAGCUAAAUGCGGAAGAGAUAAGUGCUGAAAGCAUCUAAGCACGAAACUUGCCCCGAGAUGAGUUCUCCCUGAGACUUAGAGUCUCCUGAAGGAACGUUGAAGACGACGACGUUGAUAGGCCGGGUGUGUAAGCGCAGCGAUGCGUUGAGCUAACCGGUACUAAUGAACCGUGAGGCUUAACCUU
RNAcentral lists this ribosomal RNA (1868 nucleotides) under Salmonella enterica. RNAcentral describes it as "partial 23S ribosomal RNA". It matches the Rfam family "Bacterial large subunit ribosomal RNA", at positions 1077 to 2925 of the family's 2925-position model. The record is from RNAcentral. Lineage: Bacteria; Pseudomonadati; Pseudomonadota; Gammaproteobacteria; Enterobacterales; Enterobacteriaceae.